GCUCUCUCUCUAGCCCUUCAGAUCUGUGACUCGUUAAGCUCGCGUAAAACGUUCCGGGUCUAUCCAAAUGAGUCAGAUCUGAAGAUGGGUCUGCGCUGUGCAUGAAAAUGAGCUCAAUGCAGUGUGAUUCUACUGAGUAAUGAGCUCAGUGUCGCCUGCUGCUCUUUCCUUUUGGCUUCUCUCUUUAAUCAAAUGCUGAUUCAAGAGUGUGAAUUUUGCUUUAGAGUCGCUACUUCUCUGAAAAGUGACAAGCCGCUUUUGAGAUUGUUGCUAUAUUAGUCCUCUGAUUCUUUGAGGGGACACAAUGUCGGGUUCAGUGGCUUAUUGGGUACCUUUAAGAUGAGUUAAAGAAUGAACUUGCUAGAUAUAGUAAAUCUUGAGCUACUUAGAGAGUUGAAAUCCUCAACGUUGGCGGAGAUGGGCAUAUGCUAAGCUCAUUCAGAUCCGCAUCUCUCGGUCAAUCUCAGUUCGUUUCCCCCUAAGGAAGCUUCUUCUUCUGUAGCUGUUUUGGAGAGCUCCAGCUUCCUUGGGUUGAAAAUUUCUCAUCUUUUCUGUUUACUUCUUAAUCCUUCCUCCUGCAAUUAGUUCCUCGGAGUCAGUUCUGCUUCUAAUUUUUUUAUAGCAUCGGCGAUCCUUGUCGAUUUGAGACGCUUGCUACUGGAAGCAGAGAAGUCAUGGGACUAAUGCUGUCCGACUGAGGAUUUAGAUCGGUCUUGUUGAUGAGGCUUAGUAUCUGGGACCUGGAUCUAAAUCUUGACAGCAUUUGAUGAGAGAAAAAAUGGUGUCAAGCCGCACCUGAGAUACAUGGCUAUUUUGGUUUGAUGAAGUGAUAACACUACCAUCUUUGCGUAACGAAGUCAGUUGUUAUCUUUAUGUGCUCUUUAACAUGUGGUCGAUGAGAAAUGCAGAUCCUAGAGGGCAAUAACCUUCUCUGGCUUACCAUUUUCGUAAUUUGCUUAAAAAUGUUAGCUCUUUUUAUCUUUCUGCUAAGAUCUGAUG
Syzygium oleosum is the source of this 999-nucleotide long non-coding RNA. RefSeq lists it as uncharacterized. The transcript is spliced from 2 exons. NCBI's taxonomy places the organism in Eukaryota, Viridiplantae, Streptophyta, Magnoliopsida, Myrtales, Myrtaceae. The record is from RefSeq and is a predicted model, not a curated record.